Molecule: RNA transcript, 7514 nt
Organism: Scylla paramamosain (green mud crab)
Lineage: Eukaryota; Metazoa; Arthropoda; Malacostraca; Decapoda; Portunidae
Exons: 13
Source: RefSeq, a predicted model, not a curated record
UCUGUUGGCCUCAGUCCACAAGAUCUGACGCAGCACGGUUCUCGUCAGUCUGUAGAAUGUGUCAGGCCCCAGACACGCCGAGGCCUUAGAGAGCCAGUGAGAGCCACUCCACGGCGAUCCUCAGUGUUCCGUGCCGCCCUGACACUCCUCGUGUUUGCCCUGCAGGAUGGUGACCAUGCAGAGGUGGCACGCCGUCAGCCUGGCACUGGUGGUGGCGGCGUCGUGGACUGUGACAGCUGUGACGGUUGAUCCCACCAUCUCCCCUGAGAUGACCAGAAAUGCCACUGCUGACGAUCCACUGACGGUGCAAAGCCAGAGCAAGUACUGCGACUGGGACAGAGCGCUGGGUCCCGUCUGUGUCUACAAUACCACCACGCAGGUGGUGGUAGUGCCGGAGGGGCUCUCGUUCACUUCGGGGCAGCUGGAACUGGAGAUCCAUAAUGCCAGUGUGGUGAACCUCUACCCGACCUGCGUGUCCUGGAUCCAGAUUUAUCACACCGGGAUGAUUCACACGUUUCCCUCCGAGAGGCGCUUCGAAUGCCGUACUUGGCUCCGCAUCUACAGUUCCAAGGUGGGGCGAGUGGAGCACGGCGUGAAGGACCUCACCCUGCAGGACUCCGAGGUGGACACCAUCAAACUCAUCAAUCAGAGGGACUUCAUGGCCAUCAACUCCACCAUUAACGAGAUCGAGCAGCUUGACUGGGGAGGCUACAGGUCCACCGUGCUUAACACCACCAUCAAGCGGUUGGCGGGCGUGGAGGCGCGGGACAGCUGGUAUGUGGUCGGAGGGCGCUUUGGUGCAGUGGCGAGUGGCGGUAUUGUGUUCAACGCCAAGGAGAUGUCCGUCAUUAACAGCACCAUCAACCACAUGUCCUCCAAGGCCCUCACCAUCAAAAGCGGGACGGUAUCCUUCGCUAACGUCACCAUAUCCUACCUGGAAGCGAUGGCUAUCACUCUGGCAAGUCCUACGGCAUCCCUUUCUCUCUCCAACGUCACCAUCAGAGCCGCCAACGCCCCCUGCUUCGUCAUCCUUGACAGGGAAAGGAUAAAAUUGGAAAAUGUGACGGUUUUCAGUAUCCCCACUAACGAGAACUCUUCCUUCUUCCAAUUCCUUGAUGAUGAUUUAGGAGGCGAGAAGAACGCAUCCAAGUCGACGAUUAAGGAUCUGGGCCGGAAGUGCUCUUUUAAUGAAACUACUGUGUCCUGCGAUCAUGCCGGUUUGGAGGAGGACGUGUUGAUCGAGAUUGUUGGCGAGGACAUACACGACUUCAAACAAGUACACAUCAGCAACGUCAGCUCCCUCCUGGUCACCUCCACGGGAUGCCAGACGGACCUACGACUGGAGAACGUGCACGCCACCCUCCCUCACCUCACCGCCUUGCCUAGGGAGAACGAGGAGGGUUGCAACGUCACGGUCUCCGCCAAGAACUCGUCCCUAAAUGUGGUGUGGGCGAAAAAUAUCAAUAACUUCAACGCGGUAUCCUCCACUGUCAAACGAAUCCACGGGGGCAGUCUGGACAGCUUCACCCUCACCAAGUCUUCCGUGCAGGAGAUUGAUGAGGUGGAGGUGGCGGGGAGCGGUGCUGUCUGGUCCAAAGCGGUUUUCCUAGUCAGCAUCUCCAUCACUCUGAAAGCGCCGCUCAUCUCCUCCGUCAUUAACUUUUCUCAUAUCGUGCACCACAUGGGCGAGAAUUCCUUCAUUAUAGACCAUCCCGGCAAGACCUCUAAGCUGGACGCCUGGAUGCUGGGCUGGAUGGAGCGGCACAGCAUCGUGGUGAAGAACGGCAGCCACGUGGAGCUUAGCAACAUGGUGGCCGUGAGCGUGGCAGAGGAGGCGAUCUACCUGGAGGAGGGAGCCACAGCCACGUGUAGAAACAUCAGGAUACUGCAGAGUCCCGUGUACAUCUUCUCCGUCGCGUCCCGAAGCCAGGUGGAGUUACAAGGCGACUUACUGGCUGGUCUGUCCACGCCUUUGAUCUACGUUCGAUCCCCGCCCGUCUCCGUUAACAAGCAGAGCCCAUUCACCGUCAGCGACUCCCACAUCUCCGCCUACUGCCGCACCAUCCCCUACUACCUGCAGAUAUGUGACUUCUCUUCCGCUCCCAGGGAGGAGGUCACGGUGGAUUUUGCCAACAGUCAAGUGAGUAACAGAGUAAUCAUCAAAGGGGCCUCUUCAGUGAUGCUCUUUCCCUCCUGCGUAGAAAAGGUAAUCUUGAUGAACGUAAAGACGGCAAGCACCACAAGGAACGAGCGUGAGUGCGGCACGUGGCUGGAGGCUUUGGGAGUGCACCUCACCAACGUGACCUCGGGCGUACACGACGUGACCCUCAAAGCGUGUACGGUGGAGCUGCUGGCGCCGGACCGGAGACUGAGGGACGUGGAUUUGGAGGAGACGACAGUGGAGCGGGUGGUGGGCGUGCACUGGGCGGGCUACACGGGGGUCUUUAACAGCUCGAGACUCGGGGAGGUGAGGAGUCUUCGCGCGGACAGUCGCCUCAUGAUGUCCAACUCGAAGGUAGAGACGCUGGUGGCGGGCGGCAUGUUCCUGGCGGCGGAGGCGAUCAUAGUGAAUACAACCUUCAAGGAGAUCCAUACGGCGGGCAUGACGGUGAACGGGUCCACGCGCAUGCAAGACGUCACCAUCGAGAAGCUGCAGAGGGGCGGCAUCAAGGUGCUGGACGGCCUGCUGCUCCUGGUCAACGUCAACAUCCUGGAGACUGAAGAGGAGAGCAUCACGGCGGAGGCCAACGGCGGCAUAUCCUUCCAGAACGUGACUGUGGGGGGCAAGAAAGUGCACUGGCGGGGUUACCUCACUCAGGCUAACUACUCCAAGCAGUCCGUUGUGUUCCUUAACAGACACUUCAAUGAGACGAAAAGCAAGGACACCUCGGGCACGCCACAGUCUCGCGGCACCACGGACACCAUCCCAGGCACGCCACGGUCACGCGGCCCCACCACCACCACCACCACCGCCGCCACCACCACGGAGCACGGCCGGUCCUCUCCUAAGGCGUCGUCGAUGAUCCAAUGGCGAACGACGAGCGGGGAGGCCGAGGUGAAGAGCUCAGUGGCCCCCGACGCCCUCGCAUCCCCUGCCAUCGCGUCUUCCUGGAAGUGGGCGGGAGCAGGCAUCGGCUUCUGCAUGGGGCUGCUGGUGGGCUGCUGCAUCUUCAUUGUCGUCAAGGUUGUUAAGCCCAACAAGGGAAUGCUGACCAUGCCCACUGUAUUCUGGCGAGUGAAAGACGACCAGCAUGAACUUCUACAGGAAGACCAGGGCGUCGAUGAGUCGGCAGGCGCGCGGCGAGACCAAGGCUACAGUGCUUUGCCUCGUUCAGACAUACAAUAAUAAUUCGUUUUAAUGAUCCCAUAUAUACUCAUCCUCUUAUCUUGUUUCUUCUUAUACCUUAUCUCCUCCUGUGGUCAUUCUCUUUUCCCGUUUCUUUAUAUACUUUCCCCGACCUGUGUUUCUUCUUCAGUGGCUCAGUUUUCCAUUACCUUAUUCCGUAGUUGUACUAUUUUCCUUUAUCUAAUUCAAUCAUUCCCUUAUUUGUUCUACUUCCUUGUGUUCAUUCCUCCUCCUUCUCCUCUGUGAUAUCUCUUCUUGCUCCUCCUGUGUUUCAUCUUUCCUUUAUCUAAUCCCUCAAUUCCCUCUCUUACUCCCUAUUCUUAUUUGUUCAUCUUUCUUCUUUCUCACGAACACAUCCCCACCUCUACGUUCCCUGUAAAGUCCACCACUGACUUAUUUUGCAUUCCUCUCUCCUCCCUGUCUUCUCCACCACCCCCCUGUGCCCUUCUACCGCUUCCCUUUCCUCUCUCUCUGGUCUGCGUUACUCCUUCCAGCUUCUCGUCUUCUCUUUCCUCUCAUCCUUAUUCAUUUCCUCUGUUCGCCCCUCUGGCUUCUGUCCCUCUCUCCCUUCCGUUCUCAUCACGUUCCCUUUCACUUUACGUACUUCCUUUUGUUCCCCCAUUUAAUCUUCCCUACCCUUCUACCGCCCCUCUUCUAAAGCCUACCUCACAUCUCACCACGUCCUAAGUGACGUAUUCGUUUCCUCCCUCACCCCGUGCCUUCCCCACUCUUGUACCCUGACUCUCAUUCACUCGUGACUGCGUAGUUAGUAGACGCCUGUGACGGUGCAGAGAGAGAGAGAGAGUUUUUACUGACAAGGUAAAUUAGACAAAUCACGUAUACAAAAUAUUUUUCUAUGAAUAUUACGAAAAGGAAAGAAAUGACAACGCUUCGAAACAGAAAUUACCGCCCAAAGAUAAGUUAAAGAAAAGGUAAUCCAAUCAAUUGUGGAAAUGCAAACAGAAAUAGUACGUUAAUCUGUGUUGCCGCGUUUUGCCUGUCUCCCUGCACUGAGCUUUGUGUUUGUACUCUUGAUAGAUUAAUGAUCCGCUGCUUCUAAUCUCUCUCUCUCUCUCUCUCUCUCUCUCUCUCUCUCUCUCUCUCUCUCUCUCUUGAAGGUAUAUACGUAAUGUGAACAUUGGAACAUUGAUUGAAGAAAUGAUUGUAAUAAAUAUUUCUCGUUUUUUUUUUUAAUAUUUCUAAUAUAUACAAUAUAGUGUUUUUGUUUUGUGUGUCGAUAUUGUAUAUACGUAAGACAAAAUAUAUUGUUAGACUAGCGAGUUCUCGGAACUCACUAACAACCUUCACCCCUACCUAACCUCGCCAUCACAAAACACGCAAUAAAUUCCGGGGAAAGGCAGGCUACGCGGCGCACCUGCGUUUCCCUGCUGCACUCCGCUGUACUUUGGUAAACUCGGACCGUAUCCUGAAGCGUCUCUCUCAUCACAACUGCUAUUUUCAAAGGUCAAAGAGAUAAUAAGCCGUUAUCAAGAGUGUUUUUCUUCUAAUAAUGUAAAAAUCUUAAUCUGUCAGUAGAACCAUAGACACACACACACGCACAUCUCUCUCUCUCUCUCUCUCUCUCUCUCUCUCUCUCUCUCUCUCUCUCUCUCUCUCUCUCUCUCUCUCUCUCUCUCUAUAUAUAUAUAUAUAUAUAUAUAUAUAUAUAUAACCUAAAUUCUGCUGUAUUUGGAAAGUGGAAGUUUUGCAUAAUAUUUGGAAUAAUUAAAUAUGUACGAUAAUUUUACCAGAAGUACAAUAAUUUCAACAGGUGUAGUACGAUAAUAUGGCCAAAACAAUCUGGCAACGCUGAGUCUGCUGCCUGACAAAUUAACCAGUUAGUGUGUCGCGUCUAUGGGUGGUGUUAGCGUGCGUCUGUUUCAACUCCCAGCCUGACAAUUUUUUUUUUUUUUUUUUUUUUUUUUUUUUGUGUGUAACCACGCCUACACAGUGGCUGCCAAGACUUACCCAUGAGUUAAACCUUCUUUAGUUGGUAAUGAGGAAGGCGUGGGCUCUAGCAGUGGACACCCGAAGGCAGCAGUGGGUGAAAACUAGCAAAAUAAAGAAAAGUUUGGCUGUGAGAAGGUGUUAGACAGCCAGCCAUAGUGACGAGGAGGCAGGAAGAUAGAUCACCACCACCACCACCACCAUCACCACCACUGGGAAGAAGGCUAAAAAAAUAGACUUCCUCUCACCUGAAUGAAGUAUGAAUGCAUUGUCACAUGGAAAGUGAAAUGCUUGAAACACCAAUGAGUCACCUUGGGCCCCCUUAUUGCUGGUCUGGCAGCAACAGCAGCAGCACUACCACUAUUACAUCUUGCCAAGAUUCUGGCAAAGGGCUAGCAGCCCCACGCAAUGCCUGUGAAAAGAGAUGCGGGCCAUGAAGAGCUGAAGAGAAACCCAAGGUCAUGAGGGUGGCAGCCAGGCGGCUUGAGGCAGCAGUGACCCAUUCAACAGUGUGCUGGGUGUGUGAGGUUGGGGAAGGCAACACUCCAGCAUGCUGAGAGGCCAGGAGACGUAUGAGGGAGCGGGAGAGGGUGGAAAUCAGCGGCUCUCUAUCAUGACGGAGCUGGACCCACAGCACACCACCCUCCAGUUGGCCACCACCAGGCCGUCGCCAUGCAUCCAUGGUGACCAGCACAGUGCCCCCAGAGACACCCUGCACCAUGGCCCACACAGCUGGCCAUGCCUCUCUUGACACGUGUUCCAACACCAAGCUCCCACCACUCUCUGCAACACCACGCACUGUCUCCAGGCCAGCUGCCCGACCUCUGGCGAGAUCAAUUCUGGUGACUCCAACACCACUACCAGUACCCUUGAGAUGGGCCAAGCAUCUGACGAGGGAGCACUUGCCACUAUCUCGUGGCCCGUACACCACCACACAUUGAGACUGCUCCAUCUGAUGAAAGAAAAAGGUUGGCAAUCCCACAUGAGGUGGCCCAGGCAAGGCACCACUCACUCACACACACAUAAUUUACACUCUAAAUUCUGUUGGCCCCACAAGAUCUGACGGCAUUCACUGGUCUACUACUCCUUCAUAAUGAGACAGUUCCCUACCCUGCACCUACUCCAAUCUUAAGAUCACAGUAGAUGCAGGGUGCUUUCUACAGUGAGCUGGGUCUAUAUGCCAAUGAUCCCUGCAAAAUGUACCCACAUUCACCCCCAGGGGGGAUGAUAAGAGAAAAAUAUACAGUAACAAGAUGACCAAGACAUUCUCCCUUUCAAUGCUGUGAAUGACUUGCAAGGUGAUGACAAGACCAUCCUACACAAGAGACAAUCAGUAAUGUAAACUCACCCGUGUCCAUUUGUGAUGGCCAAUUGAGAAAUGGCUGAUGGCUGCCUUUGUGAUUCCUAAGUGUGCUGAAUUGACCUCCAUCUCCUGGAGAGGGUCUGACCGCCUCCGUUCACCUCUGCUCAUGCUGCUGCUGCUGCUGCCACCACUGCUAUGUCGCCCAGAGCCACCCAUGCUAAUUCCCCCUGGGCUGUGAUUUCUGAAGAGAAACAUCAGCAUAUAUAAUAAAGUUCUUUCCAUCCCCACAGCAUUAAGGCAUCUAUUUUUGUAAGACCAUUAAUACAAAACAAAUGUUACAAGCGAGUAAGUACUGUACGUACUAUUUUUUCACUAGACAAUUAAUACAAAACAAGUGUUAUAAGUGAGUAAAUACUGUAUAUACUAUUUUUUAUAAGAACACAAAACAAGUGUUACAAGUGAGUAAAUACUAUAUCAACAGCAGGCCCUUUCACUUUAUAAAUACUUUUAAUCUGGUGCUACACUGCAGUCCAGUAACUCAACAAGAAAUACAUUUGAAAACUACACUGCUGAUGACAAAAGAUAUACACACCUUGUUAAUGUUUCGAGAUGGUGCAGAGCAAGAGAGGUGAGUGCCUCUUCAAGUACAGCCCAGAGGGUGGUGGUGGUGACUCGCACAGCUCCAAUGGGCCAUCGUUCCCCAUGAUGCUUGCUGCUGCUGCUGCUGGUGCCUGAUUCAAACUCAUCUUCUUGCUCAUGGGUGCAGCUUCCAUCUCCAUUUAUAACUCUGUCUAGGUCCAGCCCCUCCAGCCACACGGAACAGGUACUUUCACUCUGACCUGUGAUAAGCAUGUUGUAAAUAGCUGAAUGGUAUUCCCAAUGAGGCUUCUGUAAUCAUUAAAUCUAAUCUAACCUUCA